Myotis davidii is the source of this 81-nucleotide non-coding RNA. Lineage: Eukaryota; Metazoa; Chordata; Mammalia; Chiroptera; Vespertilionidae. The record is from Rfam.
AGGCCUGAAGAGAGAAACAAGGUCUGAUCCAUAGCCUCUGUGGCAGCUGUUGAUCAGCACUUGCCUCUCUCUUUCUCACCA